UUGCUAGGUAUGUGCAUCCACAUGUAGAAAGCAAGAGACCUCUUCCCUGACAGUAGGGACAAUCGACUCCAGCACUUGUAUCACCAACAAUACAAGGUGGAUCUGGUUUCUUCCUUUUCCUUUCCUAACAUUUGACUGCAAAGUGAAGUAUCACAGAAACCCCCAAAACCUUUAGUCAUUACAAGCACAAACAACCGAAAAAUAAGGAGCAAUCUGUACCAACAUGUAUAAAAUUUUCCACUAAAUUAUUAUAAAAUUCUUUACCUUAAGUCCUUUUUGCCAAUUUUAGCAAUUUUAGUAUUCACCAAACUUUGCNNNNNNNNNNNNNNNNNNNNAAUGACAAAAAAGAGGUCCAACUUCUAAUUUAGUGGAAAGCAAGAGAGACCUCUUCCCUGACAGUAGGGACAAUCGACUCCAGCACUUGUAUCACCAACAAUACAAGGUGGAUCUGGUUUCUUCCUUUUCCUUUCCUAACGUUUGACUGCAAAGUGCAGUAUCACAGAAACCCCCAAAACCUUUAGUCAUUACAAGCACAAACCACCGAAAAAUAAGGAGCAACCUGUGCCAACAUGUAUAAAAUUUUC
RNAcentral lists this long non-coding RNA (584 nucleotides) under Phoenix dactylifera (date palm). RNAcentral's name for it is "long non-coding RNA (PDAC_LNC001014)". Lineage: Eukaryota; Viridiplantae; Streptophyta; Magnoliopsida; Arecales; Arecaceae. The record is from RNAcentral.